AGUGAACGCUGGCGGUAGGCCUAACACAUGCAAGUCGAACGGCAGCACAGUAAGAGCUUGCUCUUACGGGUGGCGAGUGGCGGACGGGUGAGGAAUACAUCGGAAUCUACUUUUUCGUGGGGGAUAACGUAGGGAAACUUACGCUAAUACCGCAUACGACCUACGGGUGAAAGCAGGGGAUCUUCGGACCUUGCGCGAUUGAAUGAGCCGAUGUCGGAUUAGCUAGUUGGCGGGGUAAAGGCCCACCAAGGCGACGAUCCGUAGCUGGUCUGAGAGGAUGAUCAGCCACACUGGAACUGAGACACGGUCCAGACUCCUACGGGAGGCAGCAGUGGGGAAUAUUGGACAAUGGGCGCAAGCCUGAUCCAGCCAUAGCGCGUGGGUGAAGGAGGCCUUCGGGUUGUAAAGCCCUUUUGUUGGGAAAGAAAAGCAGCAGGUUAAGACCCCGCUGUUCUGACGGUACCCAAAGAAUAAGCACCGGCUAACUUCGUG
This 492-nucleotide ribosomal RNA is filed under the name uncultured bacterium. RNAcentral's name for it is "partial 16S ribosomal RNA". It matches the Rfam family "Bacterial small subunit ribosomal RNA", at positions 29 to 507 of the family's 1533-position model. The record is from RNAcentral.